This is a non-coding RNA of Drosophila virilis, 836 nucleotides long. The record is from RefSeq and is a predicted model, not a curated record. Lineage: Eukaryota; Metazoa; Arthropoda; Insecta; Diptera; Drosophilidae.
ACAGAUGAACAACGUAAACAGCUGUGACGAUAAGUAAAUGUAAACAACAAAGAUGAGAUGUUGAUAUAAACUAACAAAAACAUUAUUAAUCCACUUCACUCUUCCAGAUCGGGCCCCGGUUCCGGACCGCCCAACCAUGAGAAGAUCACCUAGAUUAGAUGGCCAUCGGCCUAUGCCGGCUGUUAUGUCAACUCUCCCCAUCAAGAAAAAUUUAGCCGGACAUUUCUCUCUUCAGAUACAGUAUAAUUGGUAGCAUUUCUGAUCGUUAUUAACAUUUAAUCUUAUUUCUAUUCCCCUGCAGGUUAUCUUCAAGCUGCUAUUGAUAAUUUCGUACACGCGAACAUUUCCGGCAUUUUAAAUCAGGUGGAUACGAUAAAGCAGGAGACAUAAAAAAACGACAAUGAGGAGUCUGCGUCUGACUCUACCGUUUACUCAGGCGAGGAGGCACGAACUGGAACAGACUAACUCGGACGAUAUGGGCGUGGUCUCGCCCGUGGCCGCCUCUUCGUCGUGUGAGUCCCGUCCGUGAUGGAUCGUCUCUCCGUCGUGUGGAUUACGCCGAUACUUGGCCGUGCUUUGAAAAUACGGCCCGAGAAUAUCUGGGUUGAUCUGGCCAACGUCCUCCGGGUCGGGAUUCAAGCGUUGUGUGCCACUGAAUGGCUGCGGCUGCUCUAAUAAAGUAUCGCUUUUAUAGUUGUUUUAAAUGACGACAGUGUGUUUCUGGUGUAUUAUUGUUUCGUGUGUUAACGCUCUUGUGCACCAUUUCUUUUGCAAUACGUUAGCACAUAAGGAAUUAUCUUGGCAAUUAACUAAUAAAGAAAGCCCGUCAUGAACAA